GAACCAUUGCCUGUUUAUGAACAAACAAACCAUUAAGACCCUUGGGGAAAUGGAAUACUCUGGUCCCACCAACAUUGAGCAGGAUGAAGAAAUUCAAAGGAAUCAAAGGAACCCUUCAAUUUUCAUCUCAGCUCCAUCGAAACCAACGAAAGCUGCCCCAUGUAAACCACAGCUGCAUCACUGGGUGUGACACUGAACAUCAGAAUCACCCACACGGGACUCAGGUCAGCACUGAAAGAGAAAAUCCAGUGGGGCUUUACACUUUGCUCCAAACGAAGAUGAUCACUGUCCCAGUUCUCAG
RNAcentral lists this long non-coding RNA (301 nucleotides) under Serinus canaria (Common canary). Its description in RNAcentral is "lncRNA (ENSSCAG00000014231.1)". Lineage: Eukaryota; Metazoa; Chordata; Aves; Passeriformes; Fringillidae. The record is from RNAcentral.